UACGGAGGGUGCGAGCGUUAUCCGGAUUCACUGGGUUUAAAGGGUGCGUAGGUGGGCAGGUAAGUCAGUGGUGAAAUCUCCGGGCUUAACCCGGAAACUGCCAUUGAUACUAUCAGUCUUGAAUACCGUGGAGGUAAGCGGAAUAUGUCAUGUAGCGGUGAAAUGCUUAGAUAUGACAUAGAACACCAAUUGCGAAGGCAGCUUACUAGCCGAAUAUUGACACUGAGGCACGAAAGCGUGGGGAUCAAACAGG
This 253-nucleotide ribosomal RNA is filed under the name uncultured bacterium. RNAcentral's name for it is "partial 16S ribosomal RNA". It matches the Rfam family "Bacterial small subunit ribosomal RNA", at positions 524 to 776 of the family's 1533-position model. The record is from RNAcentral.